GGUUUUAUGGUGUAGUUGGUUAUCACGUGAGUUUAACACACUCAAGGUCUCCGGUUCAAGUCCGGGUGAAAUCA
RNAcentral lists this transfer RNA (74 nucleotides) under Xylariaceae sp. FL0594. RNAcentral describes it as "tRNA-Val". It matches the Rfam family "tRNA". From Rfam's summary of the family: Transfer RNA (tRNA) molecules are approximately 80 nucleotides in length. Their secondary structure includes four short double-helical elements and three loops (D, anti-codon, and T loops). Lineage: Eukaryota; Fungi; Ascomycota; Sordariomycetes; Xylariales; Xylariaceae. The record is from RNAcentral.